GAACCGUACAAACGUUAUUCGGGAAUCACUGGGCUUAAAGGGUGCGUAGGCGGUCCGGCAAGUUGGGUGUGAAAAUCCCCUCGGGCUCAACCGAGGGAACUGCGCUCAAAACCGCCGGACUUGAGGGAAGCAGAGGUGAGCGGAACUUAGGGUGGAGCGGUGAAAUGCGUUGAUAUCCUAAGGAACACCAGUAGCGAAAGCGGCUCACUGGGCCUCUUCUGACGCUGAUGCACGAAAGCUAGGGGAGCGAACGGGAUUAGAUACCCCGGUAGUCCUAGCUGUAAACGAUGAGCACUGGGUUGGAGGCUCCUCCAUAGGCUUCCAGCCGUAGCGAAAGUGUUAAGUGCUCCGCCUGGGGAGUAUGGUCGCAAAGGCUG
Molecule: ribosomal RNA, 377 nt
Filed under: uncultured organism
Description: partial 16S ribosomal RNA
Rfam family: Bacterial small subunit ribosomal RNA
Source: RNAcentral